Molecule: long non-coding RNA, 2850 nt
Organism: Stegostoma tigrinum
Lineage: Eukaryota; Metazoa; Chordata; Chondrichthyes; Orectolobiformes; Stegostomatidae
Exons: 5
Source: RefSeq, a predicted model, not a curated record
UGUUUAUUAGUUCGUAGCAGAACAAAAUGCUGCUUAAUUUCGAGAGACAUGCUGACGAAAGCAUCUUUGGUUAGAAGGCAAAGGGAUUUCAAACCUAAUUUCACUCCUAAAGAAAGAAAACAACAAGAUCCAUUGUGUUGCUACAGUAUCAGUAAUAAAGUGAAGAUUGUGGUACUUUGAAAAAAUAUAGUUGCUGACCUGCUUCAAUGUACUGGAAAGCCUUCAUGGGGAGGAGACCAAGUCCCUUGAAGAGAAAAGGACAGAAACAGCCGAGCAAAAGGCUUAAACCUGGCCUAGCUGUGUGGAGUUAUAAAAUACUGAUGUCACUCAUGACUUGAGCUGAAUCACGUAGUUGAAGAGCUCGUUGGAGACCACAACAAGGGUGGACCACUCGCUUCCAUGGACAGAGAAAAGGGGGAAGAGAAAGAAAAAAUAAAGCUGCCACUUUACAGAGCCGACAACAAAGCUUGUGCUCAAUAGCUCAGUCAGCAGCAAAGUCAAGCAUUACACUUCCUCCAAAUCAAGACAAGCAAACGCAAACAGAGCGAAAGCUAGAAGUGUAACUCACCAGCCUCCUGGUCGAGAGUCUUUAAGUAAUAUUUUGAAUAAUGACAUGUGUGUGUGGUUAGUAUUCAGCAGGUUAACUAUGCUACCUUCUCAUCCCAAACAAAGUCUUUUACAAGACAAACAUAAUGACAGUACUGAUUAAUUAGCAGGCCUCAACCCCCAGCACUCAAGCAUGAUUUAUUAAGACACGUCUCUAACAUAAGGCAUUGUGCUGGCGGGAUUAAUGUAACUGGGUUGAGGAUCUCACUGGAACAUUGCAUUUAUAGUACAUAAAGUAUUAACCCUCUGAGAUCCCUUAUCUCCUUCAGCUGACAGAAUAUCUAUUGUAUGAAAAACACAUAAAUAUAUGUGUUUCACCAAGUUACUUUCCAAUAAAUCAGGAGCACAGUUCUGUUCUAGAAUUGUGACAGUUGUUAGGAUGUUAAAAAUGUAUAUGUUUGUAAUUAUGUACUAAUUUUAUAAGCACAUUUAAGUCAGAGUGUUUCACAAUGCCUUUCCCAAACUUAAACCUUAUUUAACAAUUACUUAUUUUAACUGAAAAAAGAAUCCUGAAUUCACUGACACCAUCGUCAAGAUGUUGCCUCUCUUAAUGGGUACCACCAAUCCUGUUGUGUAGUGAUAGAAAAAUAAUGAGUUGUGUGUUUUCAUUACUCUAAUCCCUCUUUGUGGAUACAACAUGAAAUAAUAUUCGAAUAUAUCAGUGCAGCACAAUUACAACAGUUAUUUUGCGAGCCUCUUUUUAAGCAGCUGUCCUAAAUUUUGCAACAUUGUGGCUGCAAUCAAAGAUUGAUUUCAGUGUUUAGUAUUUUCCAAACUGUUGCAGAUUUUUUUUCCUGUGAAAGCUUCUACUAUCUUUCACUUCUGCGAGGUGAAUCUACUGAAUCAAAUUUAUUGCUAGUUUAAAAUCUCAAAUAUGAGAAAUUUCAGGGCACCAGUCUUUAGAUGCUAAGUUGACUAAGUUCCCUAGAUGAUUGUAGAAUAUGUCUCCAGGUAUAUUAUAGGAGAACCAACUUUUUUAAGUUGACCAAUAUCAGCAUUUAGAAUCCUCAUUAAGAAUUUUGGGAUAUCGCUAUCUAGAUGUGAGCUUGUGAGCGUAAAAGUUUGGGACUACAUUCUUUUAUACUUGCUGAUAAAUAUUUACUGUAAAACUAAUUCUAGAUUAUUUUACAUGGAUGGCUACAGUGUCCUGUAAUAUAUAGUACUUAAAGGCAAUGACUUCACUUAAGCAGAAAGCAAUUAUUUUAGGAAGAGUAAAUAUUCAAUGCUACAUUCCCACAGUGAGUGUUGGCCUUAUAGUCAAUCAAAUAUAGCUAUAAUGUAACUAUUCUACUUUAAAAUUACAUGCAAUUUUAAAAUCAAACUUUAAAACCCCCUUUUGAUAUUCAAAUAAGGAAGAUUUAAACAAAAUUAUGCUCAAACUCCAAUGUAAUUGUUUUAAAGUGUCUUUUUCUCAGCCUUCAAGGCUAAAUGGUGAUAAACCCAACUCUCUGUGUUCUGAGAAUGUUGACCUAUAUCCCUGCAUUUGUGUGCAUCUAUGUUUUAUGCUAGCUUUUUAAGAACUGUAGUUUGCUGAACAGAAUUUAUGUUAACUGCAAGUAAAUAAUCUUAUUAUUUUUGUUUCAUUUGUCUUUUUAUGAAUGUUCAUAAAUGAAUUUAUUGAUGUUCAGUGUUCCUUGAUCUGGAUUUGGUCACAGUGUUUGGCUAUUUUGCAACAGUAAAUUUAUGGCGCUCCCUUCUGCACAACAUUUUCUCACUAACUUCUUAGUAUAUAUUCAAAUGAUAAAAAUACAUGUAAUUUUUGAUAUGAUAUGAUACAAUAGUGAGUAAGAUAUUCAUAUGUAAUGAUGGUUAAUUUCAAAUUACACCACAAUACUGAAAUUACUCAAAAGUUAUGCAGAAGCUUUUUUAUAGAUGUUCAUUCAUACAGGAAGUGUAAUGACUCUUUUGUUCGCCUCACUCCUUUAUGCAGACCAUAAUGCAUAGCAAUUAAUUAAUUAGUAAUCAUUAUAAGAAUCUUGGCAAACCUGUAUCUUGAAGUAGACAAGGAAUCUGUGAUAUUAUUGUUCUCAUAUUCCUGCUUUAGAACGCAAUUUAAAACCUUUACUCACUAUCCUUUAUCUACUGCUAAAUUUAAUUUUAUAAUAUGAAUAAUCACAUUGAGCAUAGCCAAAUUCACACAGGUCAUAGAGAGUAUUUCUGUGUUUGUACCUGAUUAUUUUUCUUGUAUAUUUAGAUAAUACUAGUCUAAAAUAAUUUACUCCCUCUCCAUUCCAAGUUUAGACU